Molecule: small nuclear RNA, 23 nt
Filed under: Arabidopsis thaliana (thale cress)
Lineage: Eukaryota; Viridiplantae; Streptophyta; Magnoliopsida; Brassicales; Brassicaceae
Description: snRNA_01542
Source: RNAcentral
AGGCAUGUCGUUAAGUCAACUGA